This 753-nucleotide ribosomal RNA is filed under the name Bacillus sp. (in: firmicutes). RNAcentral describes it as "bacterial SSU rRNA". It matches the Rfam family "Bacterial small subunit ribosomal RNA", at positions 194 to 932 of the family's 1533-position model. Lineage: Bacteria; Bacillati; Bacillota; Bacilli; Caryophanales; Bacillaceae. The record is from RNAcentral.
UCGAAAUUGAAAGGCGGCUUCGGCUGUCACUUAUGGAUGGACCCGCGUCGCAUUAGCUAGUUGGUGAGGUAACGGCUCACCAAGGCAACGAUGCGUAGCCGAGCUGAGAGGGUGAUCGGCGACACUGGGAUUGAGACACGGCCCAGACUCCUACGGGAGGCAGCAGUAGGGAAUCUUCCGCAAUGGACGAAAGUCUGACGGAGCAACGCCGCGUGAGUGAUGAAGGCUUUCGGGUCGUAAAACUCUGUUGUUAGGGAAGAACAAGUGCUAGUUGAAUAAGCUGGCACCUUGACGGUACCUAACCAGAAAGCCACGGCUAACUACGUGCCAGCAGCCGCGGUAAUACGUAGGUGGCAAGCGUUAUCCGGAAUUAUUGGGCGUAAAGCGCGCGCAGGUGGUUUCUUAAGUCUGAUGUGAAAGCCCACGGCUCAACCGUGGAGGGUCAUUGGAAACUGGGAGACUUGAGUGCAGAAGAGGAAAGUGGAAUUCCAUGUGUAGCGGUGAAAUGCGUAGAGAUAUGGAGGAACACCAGUGGCGAAGGCGACUUUCUGGUCUGUAACUGACACUGAGGCGCGAAAGCGUGGGGAGCAAACAGGAUUAGAUACCCUGGUAGUCCACGCCGUAAACGAUGAGUGCUAAGUGUUAGAGGGUUUCCGCCCUUUAGUGCUGAAGUUAACGCAUUAAGCACUCCGCCUGGGGAGUACGGCCGCAAGGCUGAAACUCAAAGGAAUUGACGGGGGCCCGCACAAGCGG